GACUAAAAAUCUUAGGAAAGCACUGUGUAAGCCCAUGGCGCGCGCUCACUGCAGGCCAAGGGUGUAUGCCUGGACCCAAGCGUGCCUCACACCACAGAAACCCCCCAAAGCUCCUGCUGAUCUGGCGGGGGAGUUUUUUCCUGCCCCUGUUUGAUGGUCGCCAAAUGUUAUGUGAGGAGACUGCAACGCCAGAAGGCUGUGCAGAGAACCCCCGCGUUGCUGGACUCAUGUUCUAUGUCCUAGGGUCUGCUGACUCCGGAGGGGUCCCGAGGAGACGCAGUGUCACUUCCAUUCCCGCCUGAAUGCAAGCCCGGAGGGUGCUUCUGCUGUAGGAUAACAUAUGGGGACAGACAGGUUACGUGACAUGCUCUAAAUCACAUGAGCAGUCUGUGUCAGAGUGAGAAACUGCACCUGGAUCUCCCAAUGUGAGGCUGUUGCUCUUGGCACUGCAUCAUCCUGACUGCAAACAAAACAGAGAUCGACUUUGCCUGUGUCCUUUCUGUGCCUGCAAAUGGCCAGAGAGGAUUUACUUCUUCCCCUUACAGACAUGGAAAAACUGGGAUACCAGGAUGUCAGGUGACUCUCCUGAAACAAUGGAAUUAGCUAGAAAAUGUAAGUAUCUCCUGAACCCAAUCCUGAGCAGUAGUCAUCACCCCACAUCACAUCUCACUGGCAUCAUGACAGCGAAAUUCUGGACUGUGCAGUCUUUCGUGCACAAAUGAGUGGUAUGUAAUGAGAAGGAAGCCCAGUGCUGCAAACACCAAUGUAAAGACAUACAUACACUCUGUUCUAACCAGUAGCCAGGAUGCCUGGGAAAAUGUGCAGGUGGUUUCAGAAAUGCAUGAGUAGCUUAUUAUGACAGAGAAGGGGAAAAAACCUGGGGAGAUUUCCCCCAUGACCAUCUGUUAAUUUUCCCCUGAAGCUGUUAUUGAUUUUCACAGAUUCACAUACUAAUGCCCUGCAAACAGCGGUGCGAAUCAGAGCGCUGCACUGCAGUUGCUGAAACACGCAAGCGUCACAGACAGAGCUAAAUGUGGUGACAUGCUCUCUCAGUUUGUACCUUAGCACUUCAUGAGCCUGGCAGUUGUCAGCCUUGGGGAGAAAAAUCCUCCUGUUUUCCCAUAAACAUUGUGCUUUGCUGCACUUCAGCUUGUGACAGUGGUGAGUCCCUUUGGUUGACCCACCAGCCUUCUGUCGUGGAAUCGCUCUAGCCCUUCCUAGUCUAAUAAAGAGAGGCCUUGCUCACAGACUGAAGAGCCAUAUUGAAUAGGCUUAGAGAUAUUGAGGACAGUUAUGCUUCAGGUUUAGCCCAAGAUCCCUUUACAUAGGCUAUGCUAUUUUAGGGCCAGGUAUGAAGUCUGCCCAUCAUCUGCAGGCUCCUGUGCUCUCGUGAUUUGAUCAGUGCACAGGCACACAUGACACAAUAAAAAUAACUGUUACCUGCCCUGCAGUUUCCAUAGCCCUCUGGUGCCUAAUGGUGGUCUUGGGACUGGGCUCUGUAGCAACAUCGCUAUGUUUUAGCUUCUGCUUUGUGCUCAGCUGAGGGGACUAGAAUCUUUUGCAGCAGCAGCUGGCCAGGCCUGAGCUCGGUUGGUGGCUGCUCCUGCACCUGGCUGCCCAGGGUGGUGAACAUCUGGGGGCGGCUGGGGCCGUGGUGGGGAAGGCCUGGUGGAGCGCGUUUGGGCUGAAGUGCACAGUUCCGAAGCGUUUUCUCUUUCUUUUUUUGUUUUUCUGAGAUAUAUGAAGGAGAUACUGCUGCCAAAUCAUGGUGUGGGGGUAAGUUGAACAGCUUUGCUCUUUUUCUUGGUGUCUCAGAGGGAAAGAAGCCUCAGAGUGUUUUUUAAAAGUGACUUGGCCUGUGGCUCUCUCUUGAUGUUUUCUGUGUGUGUGCUAGGAUCGCUGAGCCCUUCCCAAAGGAGCUUUCUGAGCACUGCAGCAAGUGGAGAAAUGCACCUUGGAACAGUUGUUGCAGUAAAUGAAUCUUGUAAACAAUUUUUGCUUUGUAUUUGGGAGCAAAUUAUGGCAUUUUCCAAGUUUUUUUUGUGUAUUUUGUAUUUGUAUAUUUAGUCCAGGGAAGAAUUAUCAACUUCUACCAGAGCAAAUAAUUUGUGCAGCAAAAAUGGCAAACAACCAGACCAAAUUAUAAAUUUUCAUGAAUUUUGUCCAGAUGGGAGCUUGUCCAGUUGACCAUUUCCUCAGAGAAAUAUUAUAAUUUGUGCAUUUUUAUGGUAAAAUAGUUCUCUGCUUGUGAAAAAACAAUGUCUCUAAUCUCUACAAGCAGUGCAACAGAUACAGAAAGCAUUUUGCUAUUUCAUGAUUAUCUAAAUACAAUUAGUUACAAUUGUUUCCUUCUUUUAAUAUGACACAAAUAUAUUUCCCUCCUCCUCCACCCCAAAUUGUCCUGGAAGGGAAAAACGCGCCAUCACAUGUUGAGAGAGAGCCUGCAGGAAUUAGUGUGGUGCAGGGAUGGAGGACGACUUUACCUUUCUGUAGCAAUAUCAGCGAUACAGAUUUUCCAGUGGCUUUCUCCCUUAGCACCUGCUAAGUCAUGUAACUCCACACUGUGUUUGCCAGGACCUGGAUGCCCAGGCUGAACGAUGGGAUGUAGCCAUUUGCAGAUGCAAUUAUACAUUUUUGAAAUUUUACCCAAGAGGACUUUGUUAUUUAAGUAUUAAGCGCUGUGAUUCUUGAUUUCUAGUGUCCAGCUUCUGAGGUGGGAGCCAGUGCGCCCAAGGCAAGUCUAGUACCUCCACAUGAGGUCCAGAACAUUCAACAAGCUGAUCAGAAAGCACAACAGGGAAGUUUUUCAGUCUUAAAUGCUACUGCUGCAGUGAUGCAGCCCAGCAUCUCCUCAGAGGGUGAGUACAGCCAGCCUUUCUGUCACAGCGCUCAGCAAAGACAUUUCAUCUGAAACACUGAUUACCAGGAAGUGACAAACAGGUCACUCUUCUGCUCUGGGUGUUUGUACCCGUCUCCCAUGUCCAGCAGAACCGCCGAACCACAGGGCAGUGAGCCGGACACUCCCGGCCUGCUUUCUGCUGAGGAUCUGCUGCUCCUCAGCGAUGCACUGGUGAAUCACUGGGCCAGAAAGCAAGUGCACAUGGGAGAGCAUGACUGUUUUUCCUAAUGGUUAAAGCAUUCACAUGGGAGUUCUAGGCUCUGGACUCUGCUUCCAGGACUGUUUAUGCAUUUUGCAUGAAACAGUCACUAGGUAACAUAUAAUCCCUGAUCAAAACCCUCAGGGGAUUUAGGCAAAGCAACACCCAGUUUCUGGAUCUUGAUCAGACUUAGGUGUGAAAUGGGCCGAGCUGCUUGGCCCUGUCAAGCCUGGGGCAGUUCUGGGCAUGCACAAAGGUGGAACUCUAGAUAGCUAGGGAGCUUGCAAGUAUUAGAAAAGCUGGAGACUGAAGGGGCCAGAUAGUGGGAAGGACCUAGGAGCUAGAGUGGGAUGUGUGUGCAAGCAUUUCAAGCCAAACUGAAGAUUUAGGACAAAACAUCAGCUGCUCUAUUGACAAGGUCCUCUUACAGGGAAACAAUCAUGCUCACAGAUUCCUGAAAUGUAAACUUAUUUACACCGUCAUUGUAUGCUUUUUAAAUUUUUUUUUCCCCAUCCUAACCACUGCAUUGGCGUGUAUUUAUUUCCACUAGGCUGCCUGUGCUGAGCUGCACAAUGGCAGCUGCUGUAUGAAUAGCUUGUUAUUCUUACCAAGCGUGACAACUGCUGUAGCAAAAUCAAGAGCAACCUGCUCUAAUGUAAACUGAUUUCAGAUUGCCCCUGGCAGUCCCAGCUACCUCAUCUAACCUCUUUUUUUGCCAGUCUUUUAUUUUUUUUUUUUCCCCCACUGGAGACGCACCCUGUGCUUUCAUAUAAGGUGGUUUAUCAAGCUGGCUAUUGCACCAGUGUCCAUGACGUGCAAAGAAGCUUCUCCGCUAUUAGCCAUAGUGCAUUUUAAAGCCACUUGGAUUCUCCAGGAAAUGCAGAAGUCGGCUGUCAGUCUACUCCAGAGAUGGCUGAUGAUUAUUGGUACCCAAGAAUAUCUAGUUGCGAAGCACCCUGGAUGUGUGUGUCCAGCUCUUGAUGGGGCUGUUGCAUCUUGAUACUCCACCCGCACAUUUGGAGAAUGCUGUGGGACUGCAUAAAUGCAGACAAAGAGAAGUUCAUUCUCUAAGGACAGCACUGUCACUCCAGAUGCAUGCCAGAUACCAAGUGGGAAGCAUUUGCAUU
Molecule: long non-coding RNA, 4225 nt
Organism: Dromaius novaehollandiae (emu)
Lineage: Eukaryota; Metazoa; Chordata; Aves; Casuariiformes; Dromaiidae
Exons: 3
Source: RefSeq, a predicted model, not a curated record